GGCGCAAGCCUGACGGAGCAAGACCGCGUGGGGGAGGAAAGCCUUUGGGUUGUAAACCCCUUUUCUCAGGGAAGAAGAAAGUGACGGUACCUGAGGAAUCAGCCUCGGCUAACUCCGUGCCAGCAGCCGCGGUAAUACGGAGGAGGCAAGCGUUAUCCGGAAUGAUUGGGCGUAAAGCGUUCGUAGGUGGCAAUUCAAGUCUGCUGUCAAAGACAGUAGCUCAACUACUGCAAGGCAGUGGAAACUGAAUAGCUAGAGUGCGGUAGGGGCAGAGGGAAUUCCCGGUGUAGCGGUGAAAUGCGUAGAGAUCGGGAAGAACACCGGUGGCGAAAGCGCUCUGCUGGGCCGCAACUGACACUGAGGGACGAAAGCUAGGGGAGCGAAUGGGAUUAGAUACCCCAGUAGUC
RNAcentral lists this ribosomal RNA (407 nucleotides) under uncultured cyanobacterium. Its description in RNAcentral is "bacterial SSU rRNA". It matches the Rfam family "Bacterial small subunit ribosomal RNA", at positions 374 to 795 of the family's 1533-position model. The record is from RNAcentral. Lineage: Bacteria; Bacillati; Cyanobacteriota.